This 940-nucleotide long non-coding RNA is filed under the name Populus tremula. RNAcentral's name for it is "long non-coding RNA (PTRE_LNC001050)". Lineage: Eukaryota; Viridiplantae; Streptophyta; Magnoliopsida; Malpighiales; Salicaceae. The record is from RNAcentral.
GUUUAUUUUAUGCAUUUGUAUCUUUUGUUUGAUUUGUUUUUGAGUAUAUUUCAUAUAUUUAUUGUAGGUUCUCCUAACGAUCCUUAAUCGGAUUUUCGGGUCUUUUGCCUGACAUUCCUUUAGUUCAGUAUUUUCCGGGUGAGUGGAAUAAUCUUUAAUAUGCAUAUAAUAUAAAUAAAUAUGUAUGUUGAUUAUACAAUGAGUACGACUAGUAAGUUUCUUGAAUAUUUAUAUAUGUUGCUUUAUUUUCCGAGUACUCAUUUAUUCUUGAAUUUGCAUUCGCAAUCUGUCAAAGUAAAUUCUAUUUGAUAUGAUAUACGCUUCUUUGAUGAUUAUGUGAAUAUCUAUUAUGCCUUGAUAUGGGACUUGUCAGUAACUCCAUGCUAACGGAGAAUAGUUAGCCUGUGUGCACAUAGUAUUCUGUUACCUAGCUGGUGAGAGAGGCAUCAGCCUGUGGUGAUUGAUCAUCCCACAGUGGUCACCGACGGGUGUCAUCUGGUCACCUUCGGGUGUCAUCUGUUCUCUGACAUGUAAUCCACUACGUUAUGAUAAUAUGUUUAGUAAGUAUAUGUAUAUGUAUAUGUAUAUGCAUAUCAAGAUAAAUCAUCUUGCAAAUAAUAUCUGAAAUAUAUGAAAUGUGUAUUAAAUGUUAUUCCCCUCACUGAGUUGGUUGAACUCACCCUCAUUUUUAAUAUUAUUUCAGGUUUUUAGUUUCUGGAACUUUGUUGAGUGUUUCCGCUUCUUCAGUUCUUGUCGGUAUGCCUUGCUUGUUCGCAAGGCUUUCCUUUCAGUUUUGAUUUGAUGUCUUAGACGCUCCACUGUUACCUUGUUUUAAUUACAUUUGGAUUUUGACAAUGUAAUAAGUAUUAUGAAUUAUUAUUUUUGUUUUAAUAAUUAUCUUUCGGUUUCAUCAGUAUUUGAAUAAUAUAAUAUUUCUGAA